GACGAACGCUGGCGGCGUGCUUAACACAUGCAAGUCGAGCGGAAAGGCCCCUUCGGGGGUACGUCGAGCGGCGAACGGGUGAGUAACACGUGAGCAACCUGCCCUUCACUCUGGGAUAAGCCCGGGAAACUGGGUCUAAUACCGGAUACGACUUCGAUCGGCAUCGAUUGAGGUGGAAAGAUUUAUCGGUGAAGGAUGGGCUCGCGGCCUAUCAGCUUGUUGGUGGGGUAAUGGCCCACCAAGGCUUCUACGGGUAGCCGGCCUGAGAGGGCGACCGGCCACACUGGGACUGAGACACGGCCCAGACUCCUACGGGAGGCAGCAGUGGGGAAUAUUGCGCAAUGGGCGAAAGCCUGACGCAGCAAUGCCGCGUGAGGGAUGACGGCCU
RNAcentral lists this ribosomal RNA (388 nucleotides) under uncultured bacterium. Its description in RNAcentral is "bacterial SSU rRNA". It matches the Rfam family "Bacterial small subunit ribosomal RNA", at positions 28 to 417 of the family's 1533-position model. The record is from RNAcentral.